Molecule: small nucleolar RNA, 146 nt
Organism: Acomys russatus (golden spiny mouse)
Lineage: Eukaryota; Metazoa; Chordata; Mammalia; Rodentia; Muridae
Product: small nucleolar RNA SNORA48
Exons: 1
Source: RefSeq, a predicted model, not a curated record
UGGUCUCCAGGCAGUGUGCAAAGAGACACCUUGUUGGUGGUGUUGUUUUUAUAUCAGUCAGGGCCAGAGAAGAUGGUGGUCCUUUGCUUACUCUGGCAUGGUGACUGGCUUGGUGGCCAAAGCUGUUUUAUACUUAGGACAUGUAA